This 536-nucleotide ribosomal RNA is filed under the name uncultured bacterium. RNAcentral's name for it is "bacterial SSU rRNA". It matches the Rfam family "Bacterial small subunit ribosomal RNA", at positions 8 to 526 of the family's 1533-position model. The record is from RNAcentral.
AGAGUUUGAUCCUGGCUCAGAGCGAACGUUAGCGGCGGGCUUAACACAUGCAAGUCGAGCGAGAAAGUGGCUUCGGCCAUCAGUAAAGCGGCGGACGGGUGAGUAACACGUAGGUAAUCUUCCCUUGAGCGGGGGACAACGAGGCGAAAGCCUCGCUAAUACCGCAUACGUUUCUCGAGACUCUGGUCUUGAGAAGGAAAGCUAGGCCGCAAGGUCCGGCACUCGAGGAGGAGCCUGCGUCGCAUCAGCUAGUUGGUGGGGUAACGGCCUACCAAGGCGAAGACGCGUAGCUGGUCUGAGAGGAUGAUCAGCCACACUGGGACUGAGACACGGCCCAGACUCCUACGGGAGGCAGCAGUGGGGAAUAUUGGACAAUGGGCGCAAGCCUGAUCCAGCCACGCCGCGUGAGUGAUGAAGGCCUUCGGGUCGUAAAGCUCUGUGGGGAGGGACGAACCGCCGGAUGUUCAUAGCAUCCGGCAUGACGGUACCUCCUUAGCAAGCACCGGCUAACUUCGUGCCAGCAGCCGCGGUAAUAC